This is a non-coding RNA of Nomia melanderi (Alkali bee), 435 nucleotides long. Lineage: Eukaryota; Metazoa; Arthropoda; Insecta; Hymenoptera; Halictidae. The record is from RefSeq and is a predicted model, not a curated record.
UUUGAUCUUUAAUAGUCGAAAGUUGCAGAAUUUUAAAUUAAGUAAAAAUAGAAAAUUAUGAUAAAUAUGAUUGGAUUGAGCAUUUUAUGGAAAUGGAGAAGAUGUAGUUAUUCGAGACACAGAAAUUGCACAACUGAAUGCUGUAAAUAGCGGUGAUAAAUUGCGAGCAGAUCGCGGAGAGAGUGAUUGAUGACAGAGAGGAUCAAGAGAUCGCCGGAGAGGAUAUUAAGAAUCAGGAAGGUUACCGGAUCGUUCAUUUAUUAUCACAUACAUAACUACAAUAAAGAAAAUGGUGAUUGAGAUAUCGAUCGAGUUUCUGUGAACAGGUCAAGGUCAUUGGUGUGGUGUCCCUUGCAGUAAAUAUUCACUAAUUGUGCCAUCUAGCGAUGUUAAAUACCGUUAUCGAUAACAUUUACUCGAAACAUAAAAGCAGAA